GCAAGUCGAGGGGUAACGAUGGUGCUUGCACCAGGCGACGACCGGCGCACGGGUGAGUAACGCGUAUGCAACCUACCUUUAACUGGGGAAUAGCCCGGAGAAAUUCGGAUUAAUGCCCCAUAAUAUUUAUCUAAUGCAUAUUAGAUUCAUUAAAGCUCCGGCGGUUAAGGAUGGGCAUGCGUGACAUUAGUUUGUUGGUGAGGUAACGGCUCACCAAGACUACGAUGUCUAGGGGGCCUGAGAGGGUAGUC
This 251-nucleotide ribosomal RNA is filed under the name uncultured bacterium. RNAcentral's name for it is "partial 16S ribosomal RNA". It matches the Rfam family "Bacterial small subunit ribosomal RNA", at positions 57 to 305 of the family's 1533-position model. The record is from RNAcentral.